This 1106-nucleotide long non-coding RNA is filed under the name Anser cygnoides (Swan goose). Its description in RNAcentral is "lncRNA (ENSACDG00005004809.1)". The record is from RNAcentral. Lineage: Eukaryota; Metazoa; Chordata; Aves; Anseriformes; Anatidae.
GUGAGGAUCUGGGUUCUACCUAAAUCCCCUUGUGGCCUUAGUCCAAAGUGAUUAGCCCCAGGUCAAACAGAAAGCCUGUAGUGAAUCAAGCAAAUUAAAGCCAACCCUCUUGAGCUAUAGGAUAAUGUGCUAGUCCCAAGACCUCCCUUCAUGGUGCUGGAAGGGAGGAGGUUAUUAAAUAUAAACACAAAGUAACAUCCUGCUCUAUGGAAGCCCAAGACAUGGUGUUCUGGAGGAAAGACAGAAGAUUAUACAUGCCCCCCAGCUGGACCUGUUUCAAGGGAACCCACAGCAACUGCCUCUGCCAGCACCAGGAGAUGUUAACAUCCCUUACCAACAGACUACAACUUGGAAGGCCACUAAGGAGGUGUCCUGUUAGGACAAAGGACACUGACCAAAGGACAGCUGGCAGUAACUGCAGGUGAAGAGGCUGACAACAGGUAUCUUGAAGAGAAGAAUCAACUGUUCACCAAGCUCUCAAAUAACUUCUGACUCCUGUUAUAAACUUUGGAGUCCAGUCAACCCCUGAAGGAAAACAGCAGAGCUUCAGCAGAAAUUAAAUAGUUGAGGUGAAAUCUCAUGGCUUCUUGUUAUCCAAACACCACAGAGGCAGCAGGAGUUUCUGAGAACAAAAGUAAAGCAGGAAAUAGUGAAAAGGAGCAAUUCCUUCUGUGAAGGAAUUUGUAAAAGACAGGAUAAGACAAAAUCCAGGAUCUGUUGGGAAAGGAGAGAGCCUUCUGAUUGCAGUGUGGAUGUGGUAGUGGGUCAGGCAGCUUUAUGCUUGUGAAAUGGAAACAUUAAUUGGGUGCAGCUGAAGUAGAGACUGAGUAGAGAGAGUAUUUCUCAUCCAGGACCUCUUACCUGGGCCUACCUAUCAGAAGGGUAGGACUUAAUACCUGUUUCAUGACAAGCCUCUGUCCUAGACUGCAAGUGGAUUUGCUGUGGGAUAUCUCGAGAUACACAUGUGUUCUCGAGGUAUCUUCAAUGCUUUGGCAGUUAGGAUCUACAUUACCUACACUUGCAGUAACUGUGUAACAGGUGUUUGAUGUGUUUCAGUAAUAGAAAGCUGAAGUCACGGCAAAGCUGUUACUGGUGCUUAGUAUUUG